RNAcentral lists this long non-coding RNA (1168 nucleotides) under Vigna radiata. RNAcentral's name for it is "long non-coding RNA (VRAD_LNC016827)". The record is from RNAcentral. Lineage: Eukaryota; Viridiplantae; Streptophyta; Magnoliopsida; Fabales; Fabaceae.
CUUGUAAUGUGGUUGGGCUAAGAAGAAAACUGGUUUUUCUAGACAACAAAAUCCUUGAGUUAAGAGAGUGAAAAAUUCAUAAUUUCAUCAUUUAACAUCAAUCUCUCUUUCUCUUUUUCAUUUGAGAAAUCAUUCUCAACUUAAUCCCAACUUUUCAUUCAUUAAGCUCUUCCUUCUUUUUCUUUCUUUUCUUCUUUUUUCUUUUCAUUUCUUUUUCUCUUUUUUCUCAAUACUUAGCUCAAUGCUUUUUCUUUUUAUUUUCACAAUUCUUUCAAAUUUCCCAGCAACCCCAAGCCCACCAAAUAAAGAACAACCCAAAAACAUGGAGAGGGGUAAAAGAGACCUUUAUGCACAUGAAGGGGUGAGAUUAGCUUGAUAGGGGGUGCACCGGGAACUUUCUUAUUUUAGAAAUUGAAAUAAACGUGUACUCCAUAUAGAUUCUAGAAGCUAGCACAUUUAGCACAUGUCUUAGAGUUAGGAAACGUGAUUCAUAUUGGCUGAACACGUUUUCAUCACCAAGCUAAAGGUUGAGGAGUCUAUAUAACUCACCUUGGCUGCCCAUGUAUUCACUUUUGGAAUAUAGUAAAGAAUUUCUGCUGAAAUGAAUAGCAAACUUCUUUCUCCGAGAGUCACUUCCCAAGCUUGCUUCUCCAUUGCAACUUUCUUCCACUUGUUGGAAGCCUUNUGAGUUGUGAUCCAUUCCUUCAAGCUAGCAUCCAUAUCACCUCUUCCAUACACUUCCUUUCCGCUGCCAACACCUCCAAAUUCCAGAUCUGCAUCUGCACAUCAUCAACCGGUACUGUUCCAUUGGAUUGUAACCACUGUCAUGCUUCUUCUCACCUCCAUUCUACCAGAUCUGCAAGAUUACAUCAAGCCUUGAUGUAUCAAGUGGUAUUCAGAGCAAGGUUCAAGCUAGAACCGUGAGAUAAGUGUCUUUUCCUUCCAUUUCCAUACUGUCAGAAAAUCCUGUAAUGUUUUGAUUCUGUUCUUCUCUUCAUCUCUAUCUCGACAUCUUGAUGUGGUGUUUAGGUUCUGUGUGAGUCUUUUGUGGAUACUAGCUGUGUUUGCUUGAGUCAUUCAUUAUUUUCAUUCGGUUAAUCUUUGCUGCAUUGAGUCAUUUUGUUAAUUUGAGCAUCAUUUCCAGUUUGUCUUAGUCAUGUUUGGUUAA